Molecule: ribosomal RNA, 1550 nt
Filed under: Klebsiella quasipneumoniae
Lineage: Bacteria; Pseudomonadati; Pseudomonadota; Gammaproteobacteria; Enterobacterales; Enterobacteriaceae
Also listed under: 1 other name
Description: bacterial SSU rRNA
Rfam family: Bacterial small subunit ribosomal RNA
Source: RNAcentral
AAAUUGAAGAGUUUGAUCAUGGCUCAGAUUGAACGCUGGCGGCAGGCCUAACACAUGCAAGUCGAGCGGUAGCACAGAGAGCUUGCUCUCGGGUGACGAGCGGCGGACGGGUGAGUAAUGUCUGGGAAACUGCCUGAUGGAGGGGGAUAACUACUGGAAACGGUAGCUAAUACCGCAUGAUGUCGCAAGACCAAAGUGGGGGACCUUCGGGCCUCAUGCCAUCAGAUGUGCCCAGAUGGGAUUAGCUAGUAGGUGGGGUAACGGCUCACCUAGGCGACGAUCCCUAGCUGGUCUGAGAGGAUGACCAGCCACACUGGAACUGAGACACGGUCCAGACUCCUACGGGAGGCAGCAGUGGGGAAUAUUGCACAAUGGGCGCAAGCCUGAUGCAGCCAUGCCGCGUGUGUGAAGAAGGCCUUCGGGUUGUAAAGCACUUUCAGCGGGGAGGAAGGCGAUAAGGUUAAUAACCUUGUCGAUUGACGUUACCCGCAGAAGAAGCACCGGCUAACUCCGUGCCAGCAGCCGCGGUAAUACGGAGGGUGCAAGCGUUAAUCGGAAUUACUGGGCGUAAAGCGCACGCAGGCGGUCUGUCAAGUCGGAUGUGAAAUCCCCGGGCUCAACCUGGGAACUGCAUUCGAAACUGGCAGGCUAGAGUCUUGUAGAGGGGGGUAGAAUUCCAGGUGUAGCGGUGAAAUGCGUAGAGAUCUGGAGGAAUACCGGUGGCGAAGGCGGCCCCCUGGACAAAGACUGACGCUCAGGUGCGAAAGCGUGGGGAGCAAACAGGAUUAGAUACCCUGGUAGUCCACGCCGUAAACGAUGUCGAUUUGGAGGUUGUGCCCUUGAGGCGUGGCUUCCGGAGCUAACGCGUUAAAUCGACCGCCUGGGGAGUACGGCCGCAAGGUUAAAACUCAAAUGAAUUGACGGGGGCCCGCACAAGCGGUGGAGCAUGUGGUUUAAUUCGAUGCAACGCGAAGAACCUUACCUGGUCUUGACAUCCACAGAACUUAGCAGAGAUGCUUUGGUGCCUUCGGGAACUGUGAGACAGGUGCUGCAUGGCUGUCGUCAGCUCGUGUUGUGAAAUGUUGGGUUAAGUCCCGCAACGAGCGCAACCCUUAUCCUUUGUUGCCAGCGGUUAGGCCGGGAACUCAAAGGAGACUGCCAGUGAUAAACUGGAGGAAGGUGGGGAUGACGUCAAGUCAUCAUGGCCCUUACGACCAGGGCUACACACGUGCUACAAUGGCAUAUACAAAGAGAAGCGACCUCGCGAGAGCAAGCGGACCUCAUAAAGUAUGUCGUAGUCCGGAUUGGAGUCUGCAACUCGACUCCAUGAAGUCGGAAUCGCUAGUAAUCGUAGAUCAGAAUGCUACGGUGAAUACGUUCCCGGGCCUUGUACACACCGCCCGUCACACCAUGGGAGUGGGUUGCAAAAGAAGUAGGUAGCUUAACCUUCGGGAGGGCGCUUACCACUUUGUGAUUCAUGACUGGGGUGAAGUCGUAACAAGGUAACCGUAGGGGAACCUGCGGUUGGAUCACCUCCUUACCUUAAAGAA